Plasmodium malariae is the source of this 105-nucleotide non-coding RNA. NCBI's taxonomy places the organism in Eukaryota, Apicomplexa, Aconoidasida, Haemosporida, Plasmodiidae. The record is from Rfam.
UUGCGAGGGAUGAUAAAAAUUCUCAAAUGUUCGCAGUUGAGAGUUUAAGUAAUUAAGCUCAAUGAAUAAUCUUUGUAGCCUUCUCUUAGAUGUCUGACGCAAAAA